UGGGGAAUAUUGGACAAUGGGCGGAAGCCUGAUCCAGCAACGCCGCGUGAGGGAUGACGGCCUUCGGGUUGUAAACCUCUUUCAGUACCGACGAAGCGGAAGUGACGGUAGGUACAGAAGAAGCACCGGCCAACUACGUGCCAGCAGCCGCGGUAAUACGUAGGGUGCGAGCGUUGUCCGGAAUUAUUGGGCGUAAAGGGCUCGUAGGCGGUUUGUCGCGUCGGGAGUGAAAACACUGGGCUUAACUCAGUGCUUGCUUCCGAUACGGGCAGACUAGAGGCAUGCAGGGGAGAACGGAAUUCCUGGUGUAGCGGUGAAAUGCGCAGAUAUCAGGAGGAACACCGGUGGCGAAGGCGGUUCUCUGGGCAUGUCCUGACGCUGAGGAGCGAAAGUGUGGGGAGCGAACGGGAUUAGAUACCCUGGUAGUCCACACCGUAAACGUUGGGCGCUAGGUGUGGGGGCCUAUUCCAUGGGUUCCGUGCCGUAGCUAACGCAUUAAGCGCCCCCGCCUGGGGGAGUACGGCCGCAAGGCUAAAAACUCAAAGG
Molecule: ribosomal RNA, 546 nt
Filed under: uncultured bacterium
Lineage: Bacteria
Description: partial 16S ribosomal RNA
Rfam family: Bacterial small subunit ribosomal RNA
Source: RNAcentral